CACCGCGGUUAAACGAGAGGCCCCAGUUAAUGGUGCUACGGCGUAAAGGGUGGUUAAGGAUUAUAAAUUAAAUAAAGCCAAAUGGCCCUUUGGCCGUCAUACGCUUCUAGGUGUCCGAAGCCCAACUCCACGAAAGUAGCUUUAACAAAAUCAACCUGACCCCACGAAAGCUGAGAAA
This 178-nucleotide ribosomal RNA is filed under the name Pseudorasbora elongata. RNAcentral's name for it is "partial 12S rRNA". Lineage: Eukaryota; Metazoa; Chordata; Actinopteri; Cypriniformes; Gobionidae. The record is from RNAcentral.